Molecule: ribosomal RNA, 483 nt
Filed under: uncultured bacterium
Lineage: Bacteria
Description: partial 16S ribosomal RNA
Rfam family: Bacterial small subunit ribosomal RNA
Source: RNAcentral
AUUGAACGCUGGCGGCAUGCUUUACACAUGCAAGUCGAACGGCAGCGCGGGCUUCGGCCUGGCGGCGAGUGGCGAACGGGUGAGUAAUACAUCGGAACGUGCCCAGUAGUGGGGGAUAGCUCGGCGAAAGCCGGAUUAAUACCGCAUACGACCUGAGGGUGAAAGCGGGGGAUCUUCGGACCUCGCGCUAUUGGAGCGGCCGAUGGCAGAUUAGCUAGUUGGUGGGGUAAAGGCCUACCAAGGCGACGAUCUGCAGCUGGUCUGAGAGGACGACCAGCCACACUGGGACUGAGACACGGCCCAGACUCCUACGGGAGGCAGCAGUGGGGAAUUUUGGACAAUGGGCGAAAGCCUGAUCCAGCAAUGCCGCGGGUGUGAUGAAGGCCUUCGGGUUGUAAAGCACUUUUGGCGGGAACGAAAAGGACUGUGCCAAUACCACGGUUCGAUGACGGUACCCGCAGAAUAAGCACCGGCUAACUACGU